This is an RNA transcript of Mastomys coucha (southern multimammate mouse), 2402 nucleotides long. It is a transcript of the gene named zinc finger protein AEBP2 pseudogene, with no coding region annotated. The transcript is spliced from 3 exons. NCBI's taxonomy places the organism in Eukaryota, Metazoa, Chordata, Mammalia, Rodentia, Muridae. The record is from RefSeq and is a predicted model, not a curated record.
AUGUGGAAGCCCCAGGACUCAAACCUGCGAGGAUCUCAAGCCAAAGCGCGGCUCACUUUGUCUGAGUUGCCCUGCUUGGGUUGUUUGGACAUCAGGUACUCUAAUGGACAUAGCACAAUUUCCAGUGGCCGUUCAACUCCAGCUACGAUGAAUGGACAAGAGAGCACUACUGCUUCAAGCAAACAUAUUGCCUAUAACUGUUGUUGGGACCAGUGCCAGGCGCUUCAACUCCAGCCCAGACCUGGCAGAUCACAUUCGCUCCAUACAUGUAGAUGGUCAGCAUGAAGGGGUAUUUGUUUGCUUGUGGAAAGGUUGUAAGGUGUAUAACACCCCAUCAACCAGUCACAGUUGGUUACAGUGGGCACAUGCUGACACACAGUGGAGACAAACUUUUCAAGUGUGUAGAUGGUGGCUGCAAUGCCAGCUUUGCUUCUCAGGGAAGGCUAGCUCGCCAUGUACCCACACGCUUCAGUCAGCAGAAUUCUUCAAAAGUUUCUAACCAGCCCAAGGCCAAAGAAGAAUCUCUUCCUAAAGCUGGAAUGAACAAGCGGAGGAAACUGAAGAACAAGAGACGGCGCUCAUUGCCACAGCCACAUGAUUUCUUCGAUGCACAGACACUGGACGCCAUAAGACAUCGAGCCAUAUGCUUUAACCUCUCCACUCACAUUGAAAGUUUAGGGAAGGGACAGUGUUGUUUUUCAUAGUACUGUAAUAGCUAACAGAAAGGAGGAAUCCAGAAAGAUCAAGCUUUUGCUUCAUUGGAUGCCCGAAGACAUUCUGCCAGAUAUAUGGGUGAAUGAAAGUGAAUGACAUCAGUUAAAAACUAAAGUAGUUCAUUUAUCAAAGCUACCCAAAGAUACUGCCUUGCUGUUGGGCCCAAACAUUUACAGAACAAUGCUGUAGAAGAGGUUGGAGAGAACUCUGAUAAGAAAAAUGUUCAAUUUGUAUUUAAGCAAACAGUGAACGACAUUUGCGGUCAACUAAAAAUUCAUCUAUCGACUUAGGUGUGAGAAUCACUGUUAAAGAGUGGUGCCGUAUGUCUGAUGGCUCCCUUUUCAGGACUAGGGUCUCCCAUGGGGUACAGCAUGUUAAUAUUUACUCCAUAACUCUUUUGUCAAUGGUUUUUGAAAAAAACCUCAGUUUCAAAUUAUUUGAAUAAUCUCCAUAGUUUCAUUUAACCUGACUUUUAAAAUUUUUUUCCCGAGGAAAGUGUUUUUUUGAGGGUUUUUUUUUUUUAAUGUUAAAGAAUUGUCUUUUUUUUUAAAAAAAAUCUUCAAACUGAAUCUUUUAUGCACCAAAGUUGGUUUUUAAAAGGAAAAUAAAAUCACUUUCUUGCUUGGCAGGCAAGAAGCCAUAUGGAAUUUUUUAAACUUUUACAGAAAUGUGUAACUUGUCAAUACUGUAUCAAACAAAUGUUGCAUAGAAAUAAUAGAGCAUUGCUUGUAAAUAAUUCAGCAGACUUGUAUAUUUUUCUAUUAUGAAAUGUACUGUAGAUGUUUUCUAGAGGCAUGAAUCAAUGUAUAUAUUAUGGUAGAAAUAAUAUUGAAGGAAAAUGUAACUCACUAGUGCUGCCAGAGGGAUUGGUGACAAAGCACCUUUAAUGAGAGAUGUCUGCAGACUGAAGGGACUGUGUACUACUGUUAAUGAUCAAAGCUUGGGCAUCCUUCCAGAAGGUCUUUGAGGGAGGACCUAGACCCAUAAGAGAAGUUUAUGGCACUACCCUUGACAGUGACUGCACUAGUUGUUCCUUCUUGUUGGGAGCCUGUUCUGUAAAGCACGCGCUGUGCAGUCAGACUGCAGCAAGCACGCCUCACCCAGAGUUCUCACUCCCUACACUGACAGGAAGACCAGCACUUUUUACUCUAAAUUUUUUAAAAAAUAGACAAAUAUAAAUUUAAUCCUUUGGUUCCAAAAUGGGAAAGGUUCCAUGAUGCAUAGAUCAUUUCUUAUUUGCUUAAAAAAGAAAGACCACAUGCACACAAGGUCCCAAAAGAAUGGGAGGCUUUAACAGGGUGAAGAGGUAGACACUGAGCGGUCACGGAGCCUGAGGGACAAGGGAAAGCACUGCGGAUGAACACGCUCUGGAAUGGUCGUCUAAGAUGCUCUGUAGCAAACAGGAAUCUAUUUUCAGAAGAAGAAAAGCAGUGUGUUUUUACUAUUUUUUCCUUUUGCUUAAGCACUUCUUUUGUUUUGUUCUAUAUCUGCAAAGUACUCUGCGAUCUCCUAUGUUCGUUUAAAAUUUCGGUUUGUUAAAAUAUUGCCAAAUAGAGUGUUUGAGACAUAUAGUUUGUACCUGUAUUUUUAUUUUACUGUCUCAUGUCCUUGUAAGUCGUUCUUAAUUGACCAAUGAUUGUAGACCUUGCUUGAGUAUUUUUUCUAAUAAAACAAAAGCAAAUUACACU